This is a long non-coding RNA of Myxocyprinus asiaticus (Chinese sucker), 4960 nucleotides long. RefSeq lists it as uncharacterized. The transcript is spliced from 7 exons. Lineage: Eukaryota; Metazoa; Chordata; Actinopteri; Cypriniformes; Catostomidae. The record is from RefSeq and is a predicted model, not a curated record.
AUAGAACCUUCAGGCAAUUUCCCAAAGGAAGGACACAGUGAGCAGUUAUUUGAAUUUGCAGUACUAGGAUCAAGCAAAAUGGAGGGACAAAAAUAUUAAUCAUUAAUUUGAUGGUGUACAAAUCUUAUCUCAAUUUUGGGAUGAGAUUCCUUUUAAAAUACACAGUCAAUGUCGUGUUCAUAGUGUGUUCUGCAUGAUCAGCCUUUAUCAUGGAUUUCAAUGAGCUUUGUAAUUGGAAAUGGUUCUUUCUAGUCUCCUUCCUAUUCCUUUCUGUACAUGGACGAACCUCAGGGCCGUGUGAGGUAUCUCACCACACUUCCCUCCUUGCAGUUGAACAGAGAAGAGAUAUGCAGAGAAUGAAGAAGGGACCUAUGGCAGUGACUUAUUUGAGGGAGGUGGGACUCCCUUAUUACAUCUGUGAUUGGUCUGUCAACUGACAGACAUGGAGUUAUUGGUGCUUCCAAGAUUGGUCAAGCCGGAGGCGAUUCCCCAUAGUUGGAUACCUCUCUCUUGUUAUCAGAGAACCGGGGUUACGUGAGUAAAUCUAAAGCUUCCCGUUGCUUCUCUGCCUGUUGAUUCCUGGCUGCCCUGCUGCCAGUGAACUCACCUAUGCCUGCUGGCUCACCACCCAUCAACAGACUGGCCUGCCUGCCUCAUCAUUGAUGUUUCCUGAUUCAGCCAUCUUUCCACGCUUCCCCUGUCUUCCGCCAGCCAGUUCUCCACCCCCCUGAAACUGUGCAUUUUACCUCCCCAAUAAAGCCUUUUUGUUUUACUCUGCAUUGAGUACUCAUCCCUUCAUCCACACCUGACAAUUUAGGGCUCAUGGUUGUUGUUUUUAUUUUAUUUGAACAUGUACAAGCGUAUUAAAUAUCAUUUGUAAUAACAGUAAUAAAAAACAAACAUAAAACUCAAUAAAUUUUUUUUACAUUUUUUUAUUUGAAUUCUCAAAUCUGUGUUUGAAGCAGCUUUUUAAAUUCCACUUUAUUUACUCCCAAAUUAAAUGAACCAGAACACUCAACUACAUCUAAACCGGAGUUUCCCUGCACCUACAGUCUGUAUUAGGGGUGUGCAGCAAAGCCAUGAUCUGUAUUUGUAUCUGUAUCUGUUCAUAUGACAAAAUUAUCUGUAUCUGUCUCUGUAUUCGGACAGAAACGGGUGUGGGCGGGGCUUAAAACGGAAGUGUUUCAAAACUAAAUGAAACACACUUUUUAAAGUCUUACAUUUAUAGAUUCUAUUAAUAAAAUAUGCCUUGUAUAUGCUUUUUCAUAAUAAUAACCUAAUAAUAAUAAUAAUAAUAAUAAUAAUAAUAAUAAUAAUUAUUAUUAUUAUACAAUUAUUAUUUAACAAAUAUUAUUUUAUUCUUUUUUUUUUUCUUACCAGAUGAAGCUGAACUUGUAGGCUACAUUAACUGGAAUAUUUUGUGUUUUUUCCUGGUAUUUCAGAUAUUAAUAUCUGCAUGAAACAGAAUUUUCCUUUGUUUUUGCAUGUAUAACAACAUUAUUCUGGUGGCAAGAGGUGGCAAGCAAGAUGUGAAAUGUCAAGCACACAUUUUGCAGUGAAUAAUACAUACAUACAAAUUCAAACAUUAAAGGAAAUUAAAAUAAAAUCAAUAUAGACUACAAUCUGGUGAAAGUCCCGUAAAUCUAUCAGGAAUUUUUACGAUAGGACACCAUUAUUUAGUUAAAUAAUAAUAAUAAAUUUAUAUAGCGCCUUACCAGAGUUCAAGAACACUUAACAUUUUCAAAUUUAGCACAGUUUAAAGAAGAAGAAGAGAAGCAUGUUUCAGUUUCUUUGUUUUACAUAAGGAGGGAUAUUCCUAAUAGAUAAAUACUCUAUGGAGCAUUUAAACCUUUAUGGAGCAUUUUAACUUUUUUCAGAAUAAAGUCUUAACCAGUUAAUAACUUUAAUCGCUGAUGUGGAUAUAAAUGCGGACAACUUAAAAGGUGCAGUAUGUAAGAUUCAGAAACCCUUGUUAUUAAUGACACCUGUGGCCGUUAAGUGAACUGCACUCAGCUACCUGUUGUUUGUGCUCGUGCUUGUGCACACACUCCAUAGGGACGAGCAAGAGAGCAUCCAAAACAAUGACGUAACGUACAAAGAGACUGAACGUGUUCACCGACAUCAUGCUGACAGAUGAGGUAGCAUAGUUUUUUUUUUUUUUUUGAUUAACAAUUUUUUAAUGAUUCACAUAAAUGUACCUCAUAGAACAAAACAUAUAUACAUAGAAUAAAACUUAACCCCAACUAUUACUCCUCCCUCUCCCUCUCCCAAUCCCACCCUAACCCCAGCAACAUAACAGUGGUCUUAAAUGACAUAGACACACAUGCACACACACACACACACACACACAAAAAAUAAAUAAAUAAAAAAACACACAACAACAAUGACACAUCCACAAAUGACAAAUACCCGCCCCAUUUCUCCACGAACACUUUAUACCUCCCCAAUCCUCUGAAUGUCACUUCCUCAAAGGCCGCCAUCCUUCCCAUCUCCGAGCACCACUUCUGAAAGGAGGAUGCUCCAGCCAACCUCCAGCCCCUCAAAAUGAUCUGCCUGGCGAUCAUGACACUGGUUGACAACCAGUCACAUACCUCAGCAUUAAGUGAACUGACUAUCGAACAUCUUGAGGAACCAUUAAAGUGUGAGACUGAGUUUCUAGUCAUCAUUAAGUAUUGUUAUGUUGAGAGGACACUAGAUGACAUCAUCACUGACAUCGUCUUUAUGGUGAGUACAAAAUACGACAGCAGUCAAUACUGUAGUGUAAUUGUUUUAAAAGUAUUAAUAGUCAGCAUUGGUCAGUUUGUUUGCAGUGUGUCAUCUGUUUUUCUUAGGUCUUGUCCAGAGGCGUGAUAGUUCAUCAUGGAUAUGAGAAAGCUGAAGUGAAGACUUCUAAUGGAUUAGCAAGUGGCACAAUCUCAUUCAAACUCUAUGUUAAUGUUGAUCUUGCUCCAGCAGUGCAGAUUCUGGCAUAUUGUGUUCUGCCCUCUAAGAAAGUAGUUGCUGGUAGCACAGUUUUCAAGACUGCAAAGUGUUUGAAAAGCAAAGUAUAAAGUUUUGGAUUUGGUUAGGUACUGCUGCCUUUAUAUACAUUGUUAUAAAACUAUGAAUUCUGAUUGGAUGAGCCAUAUACAAAGCCAUUGGAACAUGACAGUAAAUGCACACCUGCAACUGCAAACAGCCUACCGUUAGACUAAUGCACUAAAUUACUUCGUGGAAGAAAUGUUUAUUCCGAUUAUUGUCUAAAACAAAUUCAACUCUUUACUAAAUAUUGAUGUAUUAUAUAUUGCAGUUUAAGUCACAAAAGCAAUAAGUCACUGGUUUGUAUAAUUACUGUGCAUUACAGUAAUUUUACCUCAGGCUUUAGACUCUUUGUGUCGUGCCUAAGAACAUGGUAAAAUUAUUUUAAUGCAUGCCAUCUUAUGGCUUAUUGCUUUUUAUUUUAAUCGAAUGUCUCCAAUUUUAUAACAGGAAUAGAAUGUAACAUCAUACAGUGAACUAUCUUACAUGAUGUUGUUGUUACAGGUGUUCCUGCAAUUUUCUCCAGCUAAAGCAGUUCCAGGUGAAGAAAAUACUUUGCAGCUCUCAGCUGAAUCUGGUUCACUGUGUGGCCUCAGUGCUAUGGAUCAGAGUGUACUGAUCCUGGAGUCAGGAAGUCGUCUAAAUACUGACAAGUCAGUAUCGGGUUGUCCUGAUGGCAUUGAAGAUGCACAGGAAUGCCUUGAAAUUAGACCCCGCCGAGCUCUGCCAACAGACCAUGCUUAUAAAAGCUUGAAGAUAUGAUGGUCCACAAGCAAGAACUAACAUGGUCAUUGUGGACAUUCACAGCAGAUACAUCAUUGGUGCGUUUGAAGUCACAUUGAAUCCAAGAUGGUGCAGCUAUGACCGGAUAUUAUCUAUAAAUCUGUAUACUAUCCUGUUGGGCACGUGACCAAUCACAGCUUCAAUCUCGACAACAUUCGAAUGCGUAUUUUGUGGAGCGAGUUUAUUCUAAAGAUGAUCAUGUCAUAAUUUAUUUGAAAGAGGUUCCAAAAAACAUUCCUUUGAAUUACCUGAUGCAACUGGAGCAGGUUGUUCCAGUGAAGAAUCUCAAGCCAGCUGUGAUCAAAGUCUAUGAUUACUACCAAACAUGUGAUGAGUCAGAGACUGAGUACUCCCACUGUGAAUAAGGUGUUGUGCUUCAGUUCUGCAGCUCCAUAGUACACCUUGGAUGACGUUGAACACUCACUACAUUUUUAAAGUUACGUUUUGUUUAGUCUUGUUUUUUCUUGCUCUGAAAAUCAUUUACAAGUUCAUGAAACAGAAGCUUCUCAUAUAAUGUGUAAUGAUAAAGCCCAUCAGCCUUAAAAGAAUAUUCUGGGUUCAAUACAAGUUAGGCUCAUCCGACAGAAUUUUUGGCAUAAUACUGAUUACCACAAAAUCUAAUUUUGACUUGCCCCUCCUUUUCUUAAAAAAGAUUAAAAAGUCUGGGUUACAGUGAGGCACUUAAAAUGGAAGUCAAUGGGGCCAAACCAUAAACGUUAAAAUACUCAUUGUUUCAGAAGUAUAGCCACAACAUGUAAACAAUAUGUGUGUUAACAACAUUUUAGUGUGAUAAAGUCGCCUACUAACCUUUUCUGUGUAAAGUUAUAGCUAAUUUUACAAAUUUGUUGUCAUGAUGAUGUAAUGUUAACAGACCCCAAAAUGACUGUAAAAAUUUAAAAAUGAUUUUAACAGAAAAAUUAAUGUAAGUGCUUUUAUAAAAUUACAAGCUUCAUAUUUCUGCCUUUUAAACCCUUUAAAAAAAAAAUUAACCUUGAGGGAUGAGGUAUACCAAUGACUAUUAAAAGUGAUGAAAACAAGUUAUGGUGAACUCACUGUGUUUUUCUUAUUGUUUGAAGUGGUUGCAUACAUGCUUUGGCAACAUUUCAGCCAAAGUCAGCCAAAAUAUUUUAUUUUGAGACUGACACAAAUAUGGCAGACC